This 468-nucleotide ribosomal RNA is filed under the name uncultured bacterium. RNAcentral describes it as "partial 16S ribosomal RNA". It matches the Rfam family "Bacterial small subunit ribosomal RNA", at positions 28 to 507 of the family's 1533-position model. The record is from RNAcentral.
GACGAACGCUGGCGGCGUGCUUAACACAUGCAAGUCGAACGGAAAGGCCCUGCUUUUGUGGGGUGCUCGAUUGGCGAACGGGUGAGUAACACGUGAGUAACCUGCCCUUUACUUUGGGAUAACUUCCGGAAACUGGGGCUAAUACAGGAUAGGAUCUCCUGCUGCAUGGGGGGGAUUGGAAAGUUUCGGCUGUUUGGGCUGGACUCGCUGGUUAUCAGCUUGUUGGUUGAGUAGUUGUUUACCAAGGCUUUGACGGGGAGCCUGCCUGAGUGGGGUACCGGGCACAUGGGUACUGAGAUAGGGACCAGUAGCGAAUCUGAGGCAAGAGUGGGGAACCUUGCGCAACGGGGGGAAGCCUGAUGCGACAACGCCGGGUGCGGGAUGCCCGCUUUCGGGUUGUGAACAGAUGUCGCAUGAGCCGAAGAGGGAGUGACGGUAACGGGUAAAGAAGCACCGGCUAACUACGUG